UAGCAAGCGGAACAUUUGCACA
RNAcentral lists this microRNA (22 nucleotides) under Salicornia europaea (common glasswort). Its description in RNAcentral is "seu-miR11021". Lineage: Eukaryota; Viridiplantae; Streptophyta; Magnoliopsida; Caryophyllales; Amaranthaceae. The record is from miRBase by way of RNAcentral.